GGAGGAAAGCAGGGGAUCGCAAGACCUCGCGCUAUUAGAGUGGCCGAUGUCCGAUUAGCUAGUUGGUGGGGUAAAGGCCCACCAAGGCGACGAUCGGUAGCUGGUCUGAGAGGAUGAUCAGCCACACUGGGACUGAGACACGGCCCAGACUCCUACGGGAGGCAGCAGUGGGGAAUUUUGGACAAUGGGCGCAAGCCUGAUCCAGCCAUGCCGCGUGAGUGAAGAAGGCCUUCGGGUUGUAAAGCUCUUUCGGCCGGAACGAAAUCGUCCGGGCUAAUACCUCGGAUGGAUGACGGUACUGGAAGAAGAAGCACCGGCUAACUACGUGCCAGCAGCCGCGGUAAUACGUAGGGUACAGGCGUCAAUCGGAAUUACUGGGCGUAAAGCGUGCGCAGGCGGCUUCCUAAGUCAGAUGUGAAAUCCCCGGGCUUAACCUGGGAACUGCGUUUGAAACUACAAAGCUAG
This 465-nucleotide ribosomal RNA is filed under the name uncultured ammonia-oxidizing beta proteobacterium. RNAcentral's name for it is "bacterial SSU rRNA". It matches the Rfam family "Bacterial small subunit ribosomal RNA", at positions 198 to 644 of the family's 1533-position model. Lineage: Bacteria; Pseudomonadati; Pseudomonadota; Betaproteobacteria. The record is from RNAcentral.